This 540-nucleotide ribosomal RNA is filed under the name Oncocephalus breviscutum. Its description in RNAcentral is "partial large subunit ribosomal RNA". It matches the Rfam family "Eukaryotic large subunit ribosomal RNA", at positions 667 to 1141 of the family's 3401-position model. Lineage: Eukaryota; Metazoa; Arthropoda; Insecta; Hemiptera; Reduviidae. The record is from RNAcentral.
CAAGGAGUUUAUCGUGUACGCAAGUCAUUGGGUGUAUAAAACCCAAAGGCGAAAUGAAAGUAAAGAGUUAAGAAGCCUUAUUCUCUUAAGGGAAGAUGGAAAUUUCAUAUGCAUUUUAUGUAUAUGUAAAAUUUCCCGCACUCCCAGGGCGCUUGUGUUUCGCUUUUGUUUCGAAUCAAUGCGCACCUAGAGCGUACACGAUGAUACCCGAAAGAUGGUGAACUAUGCCUGGCCAGGACGAAGCCAGGGGAAACCCUGGUGGAGGUCCGCAGCGAUUCUGACGUGCAAAUCGAUCGUCGGAGCUGGGUAUAGGGGCGAAAGACCAAUCGAACCAUCUAGUAGCUGGUUCCCUCUGAAGUUUCCCUCAGGAUAGCUUGCACUCGGUUGAGACGAGUCUCAUCCGGUAGAGCGAAUGAUUAGAGGCAUUGGGGUCGAAACGACCUCAACCUAUUCUCAAACUCCAAAUAGAUGAGAUCCCCGGCUUUCUUAAAAGUGAAGCCGUGGGGAUAUGAUCAGAGUGCCAAGUGGGCCAAUUUUGGU